GACGAACGCUGGCGGCGUGCCUAAUACAUGCAAGUCGAGCGAAGUUUUUCUGUUGCUUGCACCGGAAAAACUUAGCGGCGAACGGGUGAGUAACACGUAAAGAACCUGCCUCAUAGACUGGGACAACUAUUGGAAACGAUAGCUAAUACCGGAUAACAGCAUUAACUGCAUGGUUGAUGUUUAAAAGUUGGUUUUGCUAACACUAUGAGAUGGCUUUGCGGUGCAUUAGCUAGUUGGUGGGGUAAAGGCCUACCAAGGCGACGAUGCAUAGCCGACCUGAGAGGGUGAUCGGCCACACUGGGACUGAGACACGGCCCAGACUCCUACGGGAGGCAGCAGUAGGGAAUCUUCCGCAAUGGGCGAAAGCCUGACGGAGCAACGCCGCGUGAGUGAAGAAGGAUUUCGGUUCGUAAAGCUCUGUUGUUAGGGAAGAAUGAUUGUGUAGUAACUAUACACAGUAGAGACGGUACCUAACCAGAAAGCCACGGCUAACUACGUG
Molecule: ribosomal RNA, 499 nt
Filed under: uncultured bacterium
Lineage: Bacteria
Description: partial 16S ribosomal RNA
Rfam family: Bacterial small subunit ribosomal RNA
Source: RNAcentral